GCCCCUGUAGUGCAGUAGUUAGCACACUUGCCCGGCAAGCAGGAGGUGUCAGGUUCGAUUCCUUACCAGGAGGA
This 74-nucleotide transfer RNA is filed under the name Oryctes borbonicus. It matches the Rfam family "tRNA". From Rfam's summary of the family: Transfer RNA (tRNA) molecules are approximately 80 nucleotides in length. Lineage: Eukaryota; Metazoa; Arthropoda; Insecta; Coleoptera; Scarabaeidae. The record is from Rfam by way of RNAcentral.